Molecule: ribosomal RNA, 757 nt
Filed under: Chryseobacterium sp.
Lineage: Bacteria; Pseudomonadati; Bacteroidota; Flavobacteriia; Flavobacteriales; Weeksellaceae
Description: bacterial SSU rRNA
Rfam family: Bacterial small subunit ribosomal RNA
Source: RNAcentral
AGAGAGCGGCGUACGGGUGCGGAACACGUGUGCAACCUGCCUUUAUCAGGGGGAUAGCCUUUCGAAAGGAAGAUUAAUACCCCAUAAUAUAUUGAUUGGCAUCAAUUAAUAUUGAAAACUCCGGUGGAUAGAGAUGGGCACGCGCAAGAUUAGAUAGUUGGUGAGGUAACGGCUCACCAAGUCAGUGAUCUUUAGGGGGCCUGAGAGGGUGAUCCCCCACACUGGUACUGAGACACGGACCAGACUCCUACGGGAGGCAGCAGUGAGGAAUAUUGGACAAUGGGUGAGAGCCUGAUCCAGCCAUCCCGCGUGAAGGACGACGGUUCUAUGGAUUGUAAACUUCUUUUAUACUGGGAUAAACCUACCCUCGUGAGGGUAGCUGAAGGUACAGUAUGAAUAAGCACCGGCUAACUCCGUGCCAGCAGCCGCGGUAAUACGGAGGGUGCAAGCGUUAUCCGGAUUUAUUGGGUUUAAAGGGUCCGUAGGCGGAUCUGUAAGUCAGUGGUGAAAUCUCAUAGCUUAACUAUGAAACUGCCAUUGAUACUGCAGGUCUUGAGUAAAGUAGAAGUGGCUGGAAUAAGUAGUGUAGCGGUGAAAUGCAUAGAUAUUACUUAGAACACCAAUUGCGAAGGCAGGUCACUAUGUUUUAACUGACGCUGAUGGACGAAAGCGUGGGGAGCGAACAGGAUUAGAUACCCUGGUAGUCCACGCCGUAAACGAUGCUAACUCGUUUUUGGGUUUUCGGAUUCAGAGACUA